AAUCAACGCUGGCGGCGUGCCUCAGACAUGCAAGUCGAACGAUUAAAGCUCUCUUCGGAGAGUGCAUAGAGUGGCGCACGGGUGAGUAACACGUAAGUAAUCUACCUUCGAGUGGGGAAUAACAGUCGGAAACGACUGCUAAUACCGCAUAAUGCAGCGGCAUCGCAAGAUGACAGUUGUUCAAGGAGCAAUUCGCUUGAAGAGGAGCUGCGGCAGAUUAGCUAGUUGGUAAGGUAAUGGCUUACCAAGGCUACGAUCUGUAACCGGUCUAAGAGGACGGUCGGUCACACUGACACUGAAUAACGGGUCAGACUCCUACGGGAGGCAGCAGUCGGGAAUUUUGGGCAAUGGGCGAAAGCCUGACCCAGCAACGCCGCGUGAAGGAUGAAGUAUUUCGGUAUGUAAACUUCGAAAGAAUGGGAAGAAUAAAUGACGGUACCAUUUAUAAGGUCCGG
This 455-nucleotide ribosomal RNA is filed under the name uncultured bacterium. RNAcentral's name for it is "bacterial SSU rRNA". It matches the Rfam family "Bacterial small subunit ribosomal RNA", at positions 32 to 496 of the family's 1533-position model. The record is from RNAcentral.